CAAGGGGGGGGGGAAGGUCCCUCAGCCUGGAUUGCGCGAGGGCGCAGGCCAGGUUGAGGGACCCCACUGGUGCACG
RNAcentral lists this microRNA precursor (76 nucleotides) under Myotis lucifugus (little brown bat). RNAcentral describes it as "mir-9193 microRNA precursor family". It matches the Rfam family "mir-9193 microRNA precursor family". Lineage: Eukaryota; Metazoa; Chordata; Mammalia; Chiroptera; Vespertilionidae. The record is from Rfam by way of RNAcentral.